GUCUGAAUCAUGGUCUAUUGUCGAAAACGUCAUGUUCUGAUGAAAUGACAUGGAAUCCCCUGCAUGGCCUUAAAAAAAAUAGAUCAUUUGGGAAGAUCGAAACACAAACCCGCACUAUAAAAGGAAUUUGCUUUAGUAAGCACGUGAAUGUGGUCCAGGCCGAGCCAGAGUUCACCCGAAGGGUCGCCGAAACCUUGGCGAUAUUCCAACCAUGUUCGGUUGAAAUCCAACGAACCGUUGAUUCUCCGCUGAAUUACCAGCCACCCCCCUCCCGCACCCUUCUGCUCACAGUAGACUGGAAACGGGUCACUGUUCUGUGGCGCGAUUUUAUAGAUACCGCUAUCCCGUUGCUGGCUCUGUAGGUCUUUACAUGAUUGGGCUUCUAAAAUAAAUAGAAGUGCGAACAUAAGACUGACACACAAAGAGCUUGUCCACUUGGGAAGUUAAUAAAAGGAAGUCUCACCAUCACGUUCGAAUUAUGAUUGAUUCAUUGUUUGGGUGAGCUAUUCAAGCGCGCCUAUAGGCGAUAACGAUACAGUGGCACUUCAUAAUCGAACAUUUUCACGACCCUUGUACAGUUCCAAACAGGCGUAGAAAAUGAGCCCCUGAUAGACAUUACUUGAACAAAGAACAUGCCACAGUUGUUAUGUCUUUUUUAAUGAUAACUGUCAGGUAAACGUUCUAGCACGUUCUAAGCAGUUCUAUUUAAUUGACAAGGGCACAUUCAGUAGCUAAUAAUUGCUUUUUCUGCAUCAUAAUUGGAUAAGUUCCCGAAGACAAUAGCGUAGCCAUGAUACCCUCUUGCGUCUUUUAAUGAUGAUGAAUCUCGCAUUAUAUAAUAAAAUAACCUUUAUGCAUACCUUUUUUGCCUGGAGUUUCUUUGGUGUCCUAAAGAAAACGAACAACUAUGAUUAGAAAGAAAAUAAACGUCCGAAACUUGAA
Nematostella vectensis (starlet sea anemone) is the source of this 942-nucleotide long non-coding RNA. RefSeq lists it as uncharacterized. The transcript is spliced from 2 exons. NCBI's taxonomy places the organism in Eukaryota, Metazoa, Cnidaria, Anthozoa, Actiniaria, Edwardsiidae. The record is from RefSeq and is a predicted model, not a curated record.